UACGUAGGUGGCAAGCGUUGUCCGGAAUUAUUGGGCGUAAAGCGCGCGCAGGCGGCUUCUUAAGUCUGAUGUGAAAGCCCACGGCUCAACCGUGGAGGGUCAUUGGAAACUGGGGAGCUUGAGUACAGAAGAGGAGAGUGGAAUUCCAUGUGUAGCGGUGAAAUGCGUAGAUAUAUGGAGGAACACCAGUGGCGAAGGCGGCUCUCUGGUCUGUAACUGACGCUGAGGCGCGAAAGCGUGGGGAGCAAACAGG
This 253-nucleotide ribosomal RNA is filed under the name uncultured bacterium. Its description in RNAcentral is "partial 16S ribosomal RNA". It matches the Rfam family "Bacterial small subunit ribosomal RNA", at positions 524 to 776 of the family's 1533-position model. The record is from RNAcentral.